Molecule: long non-coding RNA, 2464 nt
Organism: Meriones unguiculatus (Mongolian gerbil)
Lineage: Eukaryota; Metazoa; Chordata; Mammalia; Rodentia; Muridae
Exons: 3
Source: RefSeq, a predicted model, not a curated record
CGCUGCCCCGGCUUCCCUGAAGCGAGGAGACCCGCAGCUGGCUGGGUGAUCAGUCGGCAUCCCAAAUUGCCUCCCCGUGGCGUUCCACUCUGGUCUCUCCCGGGGGAGAAAUGGACCGUGUCGCAGCCCGCUGCUCCCGGAAUGGCAAGCAUCCGAGACGCUGCCCCACUCAGCGGUCCCCAGGACUCAGGGGACUGCAGGAGAGGCGAAGCUCCCUCCUGGAGCUCACCUUGUUAGAGUGGAGGGGAGGGCAGGGGUGGAGGGAAACAGCCCCUGCCCAGGCUGAGCGUGCAGCUUGGCUUAUUGUUCCCAGAUGGGGACUGUCAGCCCCUGUCAGCUUCAGAUAUGCGCUGAGAGCUCUACUUCCGCAUUCCUGGAAUGCGUGGCGGCCCAGAGUUCACCUUCUGCACCCGGAUUCAAUAACAUGUCAAAUCCCUUCAGUCUCACCCGGAGCUGAAACUCUCUCAACUCGCUCGCUGCCUCUGCACACAUGCCUUGCGCCUGUCCAAAUAUUGAAGCUGGGUUGAGUGCAGCCACGGAGUCUGGGCCAACUAGGCUCCACCUGCCAAGAACCAGCUCCACGGUAGCUCCCAGGCUUGCAUGGAAGUGGCCUUCUCACUCAGCGAGGCUUUACAGAGUUGAAACUCUACUACCCUUCAGAGUGGCCUCCGAAGUUAGGAAUUCCUGGUUAACAUCUGCCCUGUGACCUCACCCUGUCGCAACGACUCCAUUAAACUGAGUCACUCAGUCCUGCGGACUCCCUGCAGAUGAUAAGGACUGGCACGGAAAACAGCAGCUCAGGCUCUGGGCCGACUGUGGGCUGUGGGUUUGAGCAAAUGGGUGCUUUGCAAUUGACCUCAAUGUUUAUCCUCGUUCUCAAAAGAUGGAGAUUGUAUGCUGGCAAUUUUCCGAGAAUCCAUUAGCCAGCUCCUGAGUCUGUGAUGGUAUUUCUUACGAGACCAUUUGCUAAGGGAGGAGUUUGAAGAUAAAGUAAGAGGUUCAAGAGACAUCAGGAGAAGGAGCUGGAGCAGGAAAUCUACAAAGUGUAAGUAUCUCUGGGAUGUAUGCUAGAAGGAAGCCAAAUUAACUGAGAGGGUAAUAACUGCUCAGUUAUUGUGUUGUGAAGCUUAUUAUUAAAAAAAUAGAAAAGAGUCUCAAUUAUUUGUGUGAUAACCAGGUUGAGAGAGAAACUGAGAAACAAAUACAGUUUUAUAAAAAAAAUAGCUUUGACAUAUGUGUGGGAGGGGAAGAUUGAGAGAUGUAAAGGAAUUGGCUCACACAAAUACAGAGGCUAGACAUUCCCAAUCUGCAGGAUGGUUAGCAAGCUGGAGGAACAGGAGUUUUAAGGCCAUCAAAUAGAGAAUUCUCUCAUGUUUGACACAUGCCAGUCUUCUUUAUGCAGGCUUUCCAGUGAUUGGUGGGGUCCACAUUAGGGAGCACCAAGGACUUUAUCAAAGGCUUCCUGACUAAUGUCAUCCCAGAGCAACCUCACAGAACCUUCCAGAAUGACACCUACCCACAUUAAUUAUCAAGGCACUGUCAUUGUGGCUAAUCUGACUGUGUUUCCACCUUUGCUUCUGGAGGAACUGUGCAACAUCACAAGCUGCUUGAGUGUCCCCUAUGGGGGAGUGGUAACUAGGGGAGAUGGUUGGUGUUCUACUCAUUGAGGUGAAUGGAAGAAAUAGAGGAAGGUGAAUCCCUGUGAGUUCCAGGCCAGCCAGGGAUACACAGAGAUUAGAUAGAUAGAUAGAUAGAUAGAUAGAUAGAUAGAUAGAUAGUUACUAAUAAAAAUGCAAACAUCAAGGCACAUGUCACCUGCCUACUUCCUCCAGUGACAGCUGCUAAGCCCUCUCCUUGGCACCUGGAGACCACACAAAGCCACCAGAGUUUGGUAGGGGACAGCAGCAUCACUACUGUUAUAGCUAAAGACCAGCAAAUUCGUCCCCUGAGAUGGAGGAUGAGUAGCCAAAGUUUGACAAGACCCACCAAUCACAUAUUUGUAGCAGGAAGAAUUAGGAUGUAGUUCCUGGGAAAUUUUAGAAUAGUGAGGAACUCAAAUACAGAGCUGCUGUGCUGCCUAGGAAUAUUUCUAUGAGUAAUUUUAAAAUGUAACCUCCCCUUACCCAUCUCCAGCCUUUGAUGGUUGCUGGUGUGUAUGUCCUUGCUGCUGUUGCUUUCACUCAUGUCCUUCACUCAUGUCAUAAUCUAGCCUGCUCUGCCUUCCAACAUGAACUGAAGUCCAGGAGUCCUCUAGGGCUUCAGGCACAGAGUGAGACUGGCUGAGAUACCCAGCUUCAUGAACUAAGAAGCAGCCAGUGUGCAGACAGCCAUUGUUGCACUAGGGCAUGACAUACAAGCCAAUCCAACAUUAACACACACACAUAUCACAGUCUCCAAGGGUGAUGACACACGCCCUGAAUCCCAGAGUUCAAGAAGCAGAAGCAGGUGGAUCUCUACUGAGUUU